RNAcentral lists this ribosomal RNA (321 nucleotides) under uncultured eukaryote. Its description in RNAcentral is "partial 18S ribosomal RNA". It matches the Rfam family "Eukaryotic small subunit ribosomal RNA", at positions 1470 to 1796 of the family's 1831-position model. The record is from RNAcentral.
CCCUUAGAUGUUCUGGGCUGCACGCGCGCUACACUGAAGCGUUCAACGAGUAUUCACCUUGCCCGGGAGGGUUGGGUAAUCUUUUGAAAACGCUUCGUGAUGGGGAUAGAUUAUUGCAAUUAUUAAUCUUCAACGAGGAAUUCCUAGUAAGCGCAAGUCAUCAGCUUGCGUUGAUUACGUCCCUGCCCUUUGUACACACCGCCCGUCGCUUGUACCGAUUGGAUGGUCCGGUGAAAUCUUCGGAUAGCUGGUAGUUGGCUUGCCAUCUACUGCUAAAAGUUGCUUAAACCUUNUNAUCUAGNGGAACAAGAANUCGUANCA